AUUGAACGCUGGCGGCAGGCCUAACACAUGCAAGUCGAGCGGUUGAGGUAGCUUGCUACCGAUGCAGCGGCGGACGGGUGAGUAAUACAUGGGAAUCUGCCUGGUAGUGGGGGACAACGUUUCGAAAGGAACGCUAAUACCGCAUACGCCCUACGGGGGAAAGGGGGGGAUCUUCGGACCUCUCGCUAUCAGAUGAGCCCAUGUCGGAUUAGCUUGUUGGUGAGGUAAAGGCUCACCAAGGCGACGAUCCGUAACUGGUCUGAGAGGAUGAUCAGUCACACUGGAACUGAGACACGGUCCAGACGCCUACGGGAGGCAGCAGUGGGGAAUAUUGGACAAUGGGCGCAAGCCUGAUCCAGCCAUGCCGCGUGUGUGAAGAAGGCCUUAGGGUUGUAAAGCACUUUCAGUGGGGAGAAAGGUUAUUCACCUAAUACGUGAGUAAAUUGAUGUUACCCACAGAAGAAGCACCGGCUAACUCCGUGCCAGCCGCCGCCGUAA
RNAcentral lists this ribosomal RNA (498 nucleotides) under uncultured bacterium. RNAcentral describes it as "partial 16S ribosomal RNA". It matches the Rfam family "Bacterial small subunit ribosomal RNA", at positions 30 to 523 of the family's 1533-position model. The record is from RNAcentral.